This 77-nucleotide transfer RNA is filed under the name Candidatus Amesbacteria bacterium RIFOXYB1_FULL_44_23. RNAcentral describes it as "tRNA-Val". It matches the Rfam family "tRNA". From Rfam's summary of the family: Transfer RNA (tRNA) molecules are approximately 80 nucleotides in length. Their secondary structure includes four short double-helical elements and three loops (D, anti-codon, and T loops). Lineage: Bacteria; Candidatus Amesiibacteriota. The record is from RNAcentral.
GGACGAUUAGCUCAGUUGGUUAGAGCAUCGCUUUUACACAGCGGGGGUCGGGGGUUCAAAUCCCUCAUCGUCCACCA